This is a long non-coding RNA of Mus musculus (house mouse), 1095 nucleotides long. RefSeq annotates it as predicted gene, 31940. The record is from RefSeq and is a predicted model, not a curated record. The transcript is spliced from 2 exons. Lineage: Eukaryota; Metazoa; Chordata; Mammalia; Rodentia; Muridae.
GUUUUGUUUUGUUUUGUUUUGUUUUAAAGAAAGAAUCAGGGAAGUGAGACAAAGUGAAGUUGCCAAGCUAGCGCAGAGUGAACCCUGUCCCAGUGCAGAGUGAACAGAGCACAGAGUGAACCAAGCCAGCACAGAGUGAAGGGAGAAAGAGAAACAGUGCGGGAACGAGGAGGGAAGCUCUCCCAGCAUGCCUGUGCAUGUAUGGGAACAGGUUGGAAUGGAGACACAUUUGAGUGGAGGAGAAGGUUAAUGAAUGACAAGGUGUAUUUACAGAGCAAGAAGAAGGCAGACAGGUAGUUGGUAGUCAUGGGAGUAGAAAAAUGGAGAAUUUUCUUUUUGCCAUUAUUACUUCUAAAAUAAAUUAUUAAUCAAAGUUAUAAAAUGGGGCCCAAAAGGAUUAAGUUUGAGGAGAAACGAGAAGACCUGAAACAAUGGCUCCCACGCAUGAGUGGGAAAACAGAUGCGAAGAACAUCUGCGAUUCGGUUUCCACGUCACGUGAUGAUAAGGUGCCAGGGGUUUCCAGUAGAUGAUCCAGGCUUUAAAGAGUCUCACUGAGCUUGAGUCCUGCCAGAUUUCACACCACACACUGCCAUCUUUGGUAAGGAUAUCUAUUUAACUAUCUGAUCAAAUGCACUGUCUUUCUCACAAGCUCCUAUUGUGGUCUCUCUGUGUCUGACUCAGGAAUGGAAGGGAGUAUUCGCAGGUUAUGUUCCGUGUCUGCUGCUAUUGUAUAUUCUGAUUUAUAUAGGGUCCAGCCAUUCAUAUAGAUAUUUCCCCAUGUUUAAAAUUUCAAUGUUCCAAUAAAUGACAUGAGCCACUUUUUAAAAAGUCAUAGGAAGUCAUAGAGUGGAAGAGUUUGGAAUAAAAUGGAAGACUUGGAUAUGCACCAAUUAGCCUCUGUGUACUGGAAAAGGCUCACCGUCAUCACUAACUCUUGUAUUUGUGUGACACCCUUCUUCCCUUACCCCAGUCAAGGGUAGGCAAUUCCUGCUGUUGCUUCCUUUAGCAUCUAUAUCACCCUUUCUCUGUCACCUGAAGCUUGUAUGUGAGUCUCAUUAUGGAUUACAGGGGAAUAAACUAUUUUAUUUUUCCCA